This 490-nucleotide ribosomal RNA is filed under the name uncultured bacterium. RNAcentral's name for it is "partial 16S ribosomal RNA". It matches the Rfam family "Bacterial small subunit ribosomal RNA", at positions 28 to 507 of the family's 1533-position model. The record is from RNAcentral.
GAUGAACGCUAGCUACAGGCUUAACACAUGCAAGUCGCGGGGGAGCAUGGGGGUUGCUUGCAAUCCCCGAUGGCGACCGGCGCACGGGUGAGUAACGCGUAGCCAACCUGCCCUUCACCACGGGAUAACCCGGCGAAAGUCGGACGAAUAACGUAUGUUGUCCAUUGACGGCAUCCGAGUUGGACGAAAGGGUUGGCGGGGAAGGAUGGGGAUGCGUCCGAUUAGCUGGACGGCGGGGUGAGGGCCCACCGGGGCGACGAUCGGCAGGGGUGCUGAGCGGACCGUCCCCCACAUUGGACCUUGGACACGCUCCCGGCUCCUACGAGAGGCCGCAGUGAGGAAUAUUGGGCAGUGGGCGUGAGCCUGAACCAGCCAAGUAGCGUGCAGGAUGGCGGCCCUGUGGGUUGUAAGCUGCUUUUAUGCGGGGAUAGAGUGGCCCACGUGUGGGUUUUUGCAGGUACCGCAUGAAUAAGGACCGGCUAAUUCCGUG